GAUGAACGCUAGCGGCAGGCCUAACACAUGCAAGUCGAGGGGCAUCACGAGGUAGCAAUACUUUGGUGGCGACCGGCGCACGGGUGCGUAACGCGUAUGUAACCUACCUAUAACAGGGGCAUAACACUGAGAAAUUGGUACUAAUUCCCCAUAAUAUUCGGAGAGGCAUCUCUCCGGGUUGAAAACUCCGGUGGUUAUAGAUGGACAUGCGUUGUAUUAGCUAGUUGGUGAGGUAACGGCUCACCAAGGCAACGAUACAUAGGGGGACUGAGAGGUUAACCCCCCACACUGGUACUGAGACACGGACCAGACUCCUACGGGGGGCAGCAGUGAGGAAUAUUGGUCAAUGGACGCAAGUCUGAACCAGCCAUGCCGCGUGCAGGAAGACGGCUCUAUGAGUUGUAAACUGCUUUUGUACGAGGGUAAACUCACCUACGUGUAGGUGACUGAAAGUAUCGUACGAAUAAGGAUCGGCUA
This 477-nucleotide ribosomal RNA is filed under the name uncultured bacterium. Its description in RNAcentral is "bacterial SSU rRNA". It matches the Rfam family "Bacterial small subunit ribosomal RNA", at positions 28 to 499 of the family's 1533-position model. The record is from RNAcentral.